GGGGAUAUAGCUCAGUUGGUAGAGUGCUUGCUUGUCAAGCAUGAGGUCCUGGGUUCAAUACCCAGCACUGCCA
Non-coding RNA from Sciurus carolinensis (gray squirrel), 73 nucleotides. The record is from the annotation of a RefSeq genome assembly. Lineage: Eukaryota; Metazoa; Chordata; Mammalia; Rodentia; Sciuridae.